AAAUCGUACCCCAAACCGACACAGGUGGUCAGGUAGAGAAUACCAAGGCGCUUGAGAGAACUCGGGUGAAGGAACUAGGCAAAAUGGUGCCGUAACUUCGGGAGAAGGCACGCUGACACGUAGGUGAAGUGAUUUACUCAUGGAGCUGAAGUCAGUCGAAGAUACCAGCUGGCUGCAACUGUUUAUUAAAAACACAGCACUGUGCAAACACGAAAGUGGACGUAUACGGUGUGACGCCUGCCCGGUGCCGGAAGGUUAAUUGAUGGGGUCAGCGCAAGCGAAGCUCCUGAUCGAAGCCCCGGUAAACGGCGGCCGUAACUAUAACGGUCCUAAGGUAGCGAAAUUCCUUGUCGGGUAAGUUCCGACCUGCACGAAUGGCGUAAUGAUGGCCAGGCUGUCUCCACCCGAGACUCAGUGAAAUUGAACUCGCUGUGAAGAUGCAGUGUACCCGCGGCAAGACGGAAAGACCCCGUGAACCUUUACUAUAGCUUGACACUGAACAUUGAGCCUUGAUGUGUAGGAUAGGUGGGAGGCUUUGAAGUGUGGACGCCAGUCUGCAUGGAGCCGACCUUGAAAUACCACCCUUUAAUGUUUGAUGUUCUAACGUGGACCCGUAAUCCGGGUUGCGGACAGUGUCUGGUGGGUAGUUUGACUGGGGCGGUCUCCUCCUAAAGAGUAACGGAGGAGCACGAAGGUUGGCUAAUCCUGGUCGGACAUCAGGAGGUUAGUGCAAUGGCAUAAGCCAGCUUGACUGCGAGCGUGACGGCGCGAGCAGGUGCGAAAGCAGGUCAUAGUGAUCCGGUGGUUCUGAAUGGAAGGGCCAUCGCUCAACGGAUAAAAGGUACUCCGGGGAUAACAGGCUGAUACCGCCCAAGAGUUCAUAUCGACGGCGGUGUUUGGCACCUCGAUGUCGGCUCAUCACAUCCUGGGGCUGAAGUAGGUCCCAAGGGUAUGGCUGUUCGCCAUUUAAAGUGGUACGCGAGCUGGGUUUAGAACGUCGUGAGACAGUUCGGUCCCUAUCUGCCGUGGGCGCUGGAGAACUGAGGGGGGCUGCUCCUAGUACGAGAGGACCGGAGUGGACGCAUCACUGGUGUUCGGGUUGUCAUGCCAAUGGCACUGCCCGGUAGCUAAAUGCGGAAGAGAUAAGUGCUGAAAGCAUCUAAGCACGAAACUUGCCCCGAGAUGAGUUCUCCCUGAGACUUAGAGUCUCCUGAAGGAACGUUGAAGACGACGACGUUGAUAGGCCGGGUGUGUAAGCGCAGCGAUGCGUUGAGCUAACCGGUACUAAUGAACCGUGAGGCUUAACCUU
RNAcentral lists this ribosomal RNA (1309 nucleotides) under Salmonella enterica subsp. enterica serovar Senftenberg. Its description in RNAcentral is "partial 23S ribosomal RNA". It matches the Rfam family "Bacterial large subunit ribosomal RNA", at positions 1639 to 2925 of the family's 2925-position model. The record is from RNAcentral. RNAcentral also lists the same sequence under 57 other names. Lineage: Bacteria; Pseudomonadati; Pseudomonadota; Gammaproteobacteria; Enterobacterales; Enterobacteriaceae.